CUCGGCAGCAUUACAUGCAGUCGACGAUGAUUCUAGCUUGCUAGAUAUGAUUAGUGGCGGACGGGUGAGUAACAUUUAGGAAUCUGCCUAGUAGUGGGGGAUAGCUCGGGGAAACUCGAAUUAAUACCGCAUACGACCUACGGGUGAAAGGGGGCGCAAGCUCUUGCUAUUAGAUGAGCCUAAAUCAGAUUAGCUAGUUGGUGGGGUAAAGGCCCACCAAGGCGACGAUCUGUAACUGGUCUGAGAGGAUGAUCAGUCACACCGGAACUGAGACACGGUCCGGACUCCUACGGGGAGGCAGGCAGUGGGGAAUAUUGGACAAUGGGGGCAACCCUGAUCCAGCCAUGCCGCGUGUGUGAAGAAGGCCUUUUGGUUGUAAAGCACUUUAAGCAGGGAGGAGAGGCUAAUGGUUAAUACCCAUUAGAUUAGACGUUACCUGCAGAAUAAGCACCGGCUAACUCUGUGCCAGCAGCCGCGGUAAUACAGAGGGUGCGAGCGUUAAUCGGAAUUACUGGGCGUAAAGCGAGUGUAGGUGGCUCAUUAAGUCACAUGUGAAAUCCCCGGGCUUAACCUGGGAACUGCAUGUGAUACUGGUGGUGCUAGAAUAUGUGAGAGGGAAGUAGAAUUCCAGGUGUAGCGGUGAAAUGCGUAGAGAUCUGGAGGAAUACCGAUGGCGAAGGCAGCUUCCUGGCAAAUAUUGACACUGAGAUUCGAAAGCGUGGGUAGCAAACAGGAUUAGAUACCCUGGUAGUCCACGCCGUAAACGAUGUCUACUAGCCGUUGGGGUCCUUGAGACUUUAGUGGCGCAGUUAACGCGAUAAGUAGACCGCCUGGGGAGUACGGCCGCAAGGUUAAAACUCAAAUGAAUUGACGGGGGCCCGCACAAGCGGUGGAGCAUGUGGUUUAAUUCGAUGCAACGCGAAGAACCUUACCUGGUCUUGACAUAGUGAGAAUCCUGCAGAGAUGCGGGAGUGCCUUCGGGAAUUCACAUACAGGUGCUGCAUGGCUGUCGUCAGCUCGUGUCGUGAGAUGUUGGGUUAAGUCCCGCAACGAGCGCAACCCUUUUUCGUAUUUGCCAGCGGCUUAAGCCCAGAACUUUAACGAUACUGCCAGUGACAAACUGGCAGGAAGGCGGGGACGACGGCAACUCAUCAUGGCCCUUACGACCAGGGCUACACACGUGCUACAAUGGUAGGUACAGAGGGUUGCUACACAGCGAUGUGAUGCUAAUCUCAAAAAGCCUAUCGUAGUCCGGAUUGGAGUCUGCAACUCGACUCCAUGAAGUCGGAAUCGCUAGUAAUCGCAGAUCAGAAUGCUGCGGUGAAUACGUUCCCGGGCCUUGUACACACCGCCCGUCACACCAUGGGAGUCUAUUGCACCAGAAGUAGGUAGCCUAACGCAAGAGGGCGCUACCACGUGUCA
This 1422-nucleotide ribosomal RNA is filed under the name Moraxella sp. RNAcentral's name for it is "bacterial SSU rRNA". It matches the Rfam family "Bacterial small subunit ribosomal RNA". The record is from RNAcentral. Lineage: Bacteria; Pseudomonadati; Pseudomonadota; Gammaproteobacteria; Moraxellales; Moraxellaceae.